Molecule: long non-coding RNA, 227 nt
Filed under: Lathyrus oleraceus (garden pea)
Lineage: Eukaryota; Viridiplantae; Streptophyta; Magnoliopsida; Fabales; Fabaceae
Description: Pisum sativum (pea) long non-coding RNA (PSAT_LNC025921)
Source: RNAcentral
ACUUACACCCGACUCCCAACAAUAACAAAAAGGAAACAGAAUGCCAAUACAUGGACUUACACCCGACUCCCAACAAUAACAAAAGCUAACCGGCGAACACCAAAGAAAAAGGUUAUCAGAAUAAACCCCAACAAAGUAGCCAAAUACCCAGAAUAAAUUCCAAAUAUGGAUAAUCAGUCACCACAAAUGACCCCCAAAGAUGAACCCUAAAUGAACAACAAUCGUCA